GUGCCAGCAGCCGCGGUAAUACGUAGGUGGCGAGCGUUGUCCGGAAUUACUGGGUGUAAAGGGCGUGUAGGCGGGUUAUUAAGUCAGAUGUGAAAUUCCAGAGCUCAACUCUGGCGCUGCAUCUGAAACUGGUAAUCUUGAGUGUUGGAGAGGAAAGCGGAAUUCCUAGUGUAGCGGUGAAAUGCGUAGAUAUUAGGAGGAACACCAGUGGCGAAGGCGGCUUUCUGGACAAUAACUGACGCUGAGGCGCGAAAGCGUGGGGAGCAAACAGGAUUAGAUACCCUGGUAGUCCACGCUGUAAACGAUGGAUACUAGGUGUAGGGGGUAUCGACCCCCUCUGUGCCGCAGUUAACACAAUAAGUAUCCCACCUGGGGAGUACGGCCGCAAGGUUGAA
RNAcentral lists this ribosomal RNA (395 nucleotides) under uncultured bacterium. RNAcentral's name for it is "bacterial SSU rRNA". It matches the Rfam family "Bacterial small subunit ribosomal RNA", at positions 505 to 898 of the family's 1533-position model. The record is from RNAcentral.